This is a long non-coding RNA of Thalassophryne amazonica, 332 nucleotides long. RefSeq lists it as uncharacterized. The record is from RefSeq and is a predicted model, not a curated record. Lineage: Eukaryota; Metazoa; Chordata; Actinopteri; Batrachoidiformes; Batrachoididae. The transcript has 2 exons.
UCUUGCACGGUCACUCACUUUUUGAGAACUGCUUUCUCCAGACAGAUUUACCAUACAGUACUAUACUCUUUGUAUUUCUUAAAGAUUGAUGAAAAUGACAUCCAAGACCUAAUCAGUGACUUAUAAAUGUUCAUGUGUUCAUCCCCUGAAUGUUUAAAGAAAACUGGCUGUAAAAGUGAUGAUUCACUGUAAAUUCUUCAAAAGGUGCCAAUAAUUAUUUUGUGAUUGUUUUGUUUGUUUCUUAAAUUUCUGGUUUGCAAUAUGGAUAUUUAUUUCAGUGCCUGUUAAAGUCUAUUUUAAAGCAGUUUGAAUAAAUAAAGACUGCUGUAUUU